Long non-coding RNA from Oncorhynchus masou masou (cherry salmon), 4745 nucleotides. RefSeq lists it as uncharacterized. The transcript has 6 exons. NCBI's taxonomy places the organism in Eukaryota, Metazoa, Chordata, Actinopteri, Salmoniformes, Salmonidae. The record is from RefSeq and is a predicted model, not a curated record.
GCUUCUUCAACAACUGCCACCUCGGUAGCUCGCUAACAACAAAGUCGGAACAUUCAAGUUCUUUAGACAAUUUCGUGGUUUAUUUGCCACUAUGAUUUAAACAUACAUAUGUGGAAACAACUAGCUACCCCGUUUAAUUUAAUAUUUACGAUAAGUCAACUAGCUGGUUGGUUAAGUUAGCACUAGUCUAGUCGCUAAUGCUAACUAGCGAUUAUCCCCGACCAUGAGUUCACUAAGCUACUCUCCUCCUGAUAAAGAAGAGGUCUGCUGGACGGUGAAAGAAGCUCUCGUGAAAGAGGAGGAGGAUGUAACGAUACAAAAACAAGUACAGGGUGACACUGUUACCGUGAAAGAAGAGGAAGACGCUUUCAGAGUGAAAGAGGAGGAGGAUGUUACUGUGAAAGAAAAGGAGGAAGAUGUCGUUUUUGGAGUGGAGGAUGAAGUGAAAGAAGAUGAAGACGUUUGUGGAAUUAAGAGGGGGAGAUUACUGUCACAUUAGAGGAGGACGAAGAAGAGAAGCCUGGAGAACUAAUUAAACCAGUAAAUACAGAGAGAUACUUAACUAUUGUGGAUCCUCCUGGGAGCUUCAACAACCUUGUGAUGCUGAAGAGGCAGAGAAGAGUCUCUCCAGAUCAGAACACCUCAAUAAACCCCUGCAGAGAUCCACAGGGAAGAUAACUCACUGCUGCUCUGACUGUGGGAAGAGAUUCACCUCCUCAUCAGGCAUUAAUAUUAAUCAAUGAGCCCACACAAGAGAGAAUGUGGGAAGAGUUUUGGUCAAUCUGGAGAGCUGACAGUGCAUCAGAGAACACAGACAGGAGAGACACCUUAUAACUGUGAUCAGUGUGACAAGAGAUACUUUGAUAGAAGAUCUCUGAUCAAACAUCUGAAAAUACAUACAUGAAGGAGUUAUUUUGUGAAAUAAAUGUAAAAAUGUCACAAUGUAGAAUGUUUUUACAUUGUAGUAGGAGUAUUUUAAGGAAUUUCAGAAUGUAGAACCCUAAACGUUGGCCCCAUUCAAUUGAUAUCAGUGUGAUAUGGAUAUUAGCCUUGGGAAAAAUCCAGGCUAUGAAUUGAAAGAGUACUAUUUGUGUGAUUUAACAAAAAGUGACUAACACAAAAAGAGCUGUUACACUUACCAUGUUGGUGACCCACUUGAAUCAAAAUGCAACACUUCAAAAUGUAGCUCGCUGUUUUCUACAAAUUGUCCUCUAACCAGGGAUGUACACAUUAUUCCCAGAUUCCGUGUGGCUUUUGAGCUGUUAGUUUUAACAGGACGUGCAACCUCAUCUUCCUCCUCUCGGCACAAUUGAUUUCAAGAUGAUAUCGAUGAAUGACGACAAAUAAGUGUGGUGUUCCUUUGUUUAGCGACUCCUAAAUUUAAAUGCAUCACUCCAAAAUGUAGCUAUCUAUCUUCCUCUAACGAUCUAGUGAACCCUGAAAAGAGAGGGGAGCUCCACAGUGAGACGGAAAGUUACUACGGAUAUUGCAGGAGUUUCCUCUUGAAAUCAGACAUGCCCGUGGUAAGGACAACUUGGUUGCUGUUUGUCUCAAGGGUGCGCAGUCAAAAAGUUUUGUGUUUUGAAUUUAGCCAGUGCGUUGCCAUUUAUUUUGAAUGCACGUUUUUCCGUAUUGGAGAUGAGUUUUGUUUGGGCUCGUUCCAAGGGGACGAGAGUUCUAGAAGCUAGUGAGUUUAACACUUUUUCUUUUUCAUUGUUCACAGCCAGUAGACGCCAUGUUUAUAUUGAUGAAGGUGAAGCAUUGUAGUUGAUUAUAAUGUGACAUGUAAGUUGUUUUCUUUUGGUGGUAAGCAUUCUCUUAAGACGGAAGGUGUUUUGGUUUUUCCAUUUAUGUUUUGAGGUUGGACUUCAGCACGUAUAGCUCUUAGCACGUAGGGCGCACCGAUUGGUGUCUCCUCAUUAGUCAGUAUGUGUUACAUCUGUUGGCUUGUCCAUCUGGUUAGUGGGAAGGUGUUUCACCUGAGCUUGUCCAGGUUCUAUUUAAGAGUGUCUGGCCCAGUGCUCCAGUUGCCUUGAUAGAUGAGGAGAAUCAACACCUUUAGUUUCUCCACCUUUUUAGUUUGCUUACUGUCUCUCUAAGUUUGUUGUGGGUUUUUCUUUUGUUUGCCUCUUCUUGGGCAGAUUUAGUCGGUGCUCAUGGUGGGUGUCUUUUAUGUUCCAGUUGUUGUUACUAGUCAACUUUCAGUGGACGCUGAAACUUUUAUUGCAUCAAAUGGUUGUUUUAUGCAGCAGAAUAGAGGGUUCUUAUAACUGUUGUGUCUGUGUGUUCUACUGAGGAUGGGCAUUUCUCUUAGUGUUGGGGACCCAUAAACUCAAAAUGUAGCUGUCUUCUGCAGGUUGUCCUCUAACCAGUGAGCUAAAAGAUAUCUCCCAUUUCUAUGUUUUUGUUGUUGUGUUAGUUUCAACAGCAUGUACAAUCUGAUUUCCCCCCUAAUCGAUAUCAGUGAUUUAAUUUCAAUGUACUUGCAGCCUAUACACAUGGAUGCAGUAUAAUAAAUUGGUCUAUAAUCAAUUGAUAAGAGAAUUAUAUUAUCCAGGUCCAUAACCCAAUUUAAUUAUAUUACUCUGUCUGCAAACCAGAAUUGUAAGAUCCUGGUCGAAUGAAACAGACGGAGGCCCAGCUAAGGUCAAGAAUACAAAACAAUUCAUUUUACACUGACUUCUUACGCCCAUACAUACACACAAACAGACGCACACACUGUCUGUCUCACUACCCAGCCGACAGAGAUCAGUGAUUUUAUACAUUCCAUACAAUUAUGUUUCAGGGCGGAAUAUUCUAAUCAUAUCAGUUAACAGAUCAUUCUGAACUAACAUCAAUUUCAUUAACAAUCCUACAUCACUCCAGUAUUUCUUUACAACAUUCAAGUGAUAAUUGUCUUUAUUCCACUACUGAAGAAGCAUGACUCAAAUCACCUCAUAUUUCAAACAUCCAGCCUGACAAAAUAUACAUUUGUUAUUAUUCCAUGCCUCACCACUAAGUGAAGUAUUGCCAAUACAUAUUAACAAAGGGGUGUAAAUUUGCUUUUGAUAUUUUAUAUUUACAAUUGUGUAUAUUCCGUUUUGAUAUUUACAGUUAAUUUCACAUUUGGUAAUGAUAAUUAUUUAUGCAACCAAUUGUACAAUUAUAUUGACAUUGUUGCCCUGCUUUUAGAAUAUCAAGGUUAAUUCUCACAUGUACCAACCCAAAUGUACUAGAGCAUGACAUUGGGGACUGGGCCCCGAUCCAACAACAUGCCUAUAUAGUGAACCCUGAAAAGAGGGAGAAGCUCCGCAGUGAGGUGGGAAGUUACUAUGGAUAUUGCAGGAGUCUCCUCUUGAAAUCAUACAUGUCUGUGGUAAGGACAACUUGGUUGCUGAUUUUCUCAAGGGUGGGCAGUCAAAAAGUUUUGUGUUUAGCCAGUGUGUUUCCAUGGAUCACUAUUUAUUUUGACUGCACGUUUUUCCUUAUUGGAGAUGAGUUUUGUUUGGGCUCUUUCCAAGGGGAUGAGAGUUCUAGAAACUAGUGAGUUUUAGGAAGACGAGAGUUCUAGAAGCUAGUGGGGAAAAAUACGUUUUUUCAAGAAUUGGAAUGAACAGUUUCACUAAUUAAUUUUAAUUACCUUAAUCAUUAUGAUUCAACGUCAGUUCACCGUCUCACCUCCCACUGUAUUGGAGGACCAGCAGCUGAGUUGAUCAUUGAUUCUAAUCAGCAUGUUUGAAUCUGAGAGUAAAUAGAGCCGACCACUCUAAAAAACAAGGGUUCAACUGGAGUUGUUGAACCGUAGGGUUUUUAGUCAAUGCAAAACAGCCCCAAAAGGUUAUUCAAAUAACUUGUUAGAAGAUGGGUUCAUCGAGGAACCUCCGUUGUUGCUGGACUUCUUCCGGGAACUUCGCAAUGACAACUGAAAACGAUGGUGACAAGUUUGUAUGCGACAACAGUUAAAAAGGACAGAACAUGGACACAAUGCAAUUGGGAUCAAGAAGAAGGCACAGAUAUAUUAUGUUCUCAGAAAUGAAUCAAGUCCAUGGAAUGGAUAUAGACAAAAAUAUAAUUCAAGGACUAGCAGAGGUGAGGCAGGGGUGAGGACAUCAUCCUGCUAUUUGACAGUCCCUGAAGGACAAUACAGAAGAGGACUGGAGACCACAGCAGCGAUUCUGCUCUUGCCCUAACCUCUUCAAUGAGAACCCGAGUGUCCUUUAUGUCCGUGACAAGAUUUCACCUCUCUUCACUCCUUUACGGCACAUCGGUGGAUAUCCAUUUCACCAUGAGAGUGAAAUCCCGCUGGCCUUUGAUGGGGAGAACAUCCACGCCCUCGAGGACGUCCCCAUUGGACUUGGGGCUCUGCUCGGGCUGAAUUUAUUUAUUUUCCUUAAAUUUCCCCAAAAUGUCAGAAAAACACUUGUGUUGUUCAGUUACUGUGUUCUGGGGAUAAGAGAAGUUGGGGUGCCAGGGCCGGUCAUAAAGAUGGCAAACUUCCUAACAUAUCUAAGUGGAUACAAUAUACACACUAAAGCUGAAAAUCUGUAUUUAGCAUCAACUCUACAAUAUUGUUAGUUUACCUAUGAUACAUUUUUAAGGAAUGUGGUUUUUAUUGGACAUCAAUUUAAUUUAUUUUUUUAAUGACAUGAAAAGCACUAUACAAAGUAAAUGUAUUUAACAUAAAUGUUGCAAUAUUGUAAUGUGUUUUGUUUGGUAAAUUGUUCUGUAAAUAUUUAUUCACAUUUGUGGUGCCACUAAAUAAACAA